GAUGAACGCUGGCGGCAUGCCUAACACAUGCAAGUCGAGCGAUACGCCUUCGUGCUCUGACCGGCGCACGGGUACGUCGCGCGAAUCCAAUCUUCCUUUUAUCCGAAGUCUCGCCCGGAGAAAUUAAGAUUAAUACCCUUUGGUAUACCAGCACGGCAUCGUCCACUUAUUAAACCUACUGCGGUUAACGAUUAGUAUGCGUGCUAUUCGCUAGUUGGAGAGGUAACUGCUCCCCAAGGCGACGAUAGAUAGGGGUUCGGAGAGGGAUGUCCCCCCUACGGGUACUGAGAUACGGACAAGACUACUACGGGAGGCAGCAGUGAGGAAUAUUAGACAAUGGUCGGAAGACUGAUCCAGCCAGGCCGCGUGCAGGAUGACGGCCUUAUGGGUUGUAAACUGCUUUUGGAAGGGAAGAAUAAGGAGUACGGGUAUUUUGAUGACGGUACCUGACGAAUAAGCUUCGGCUAACUCCGUG
Molecule: ribosomal RNA, 475 nt
Filed under: uncultured bacterium
Lineage: Bacteria
Description: partial 16S ribosomal RNA
Rfam family: Bacterial small subunit ribosomal RNA
Source: RNAcentral